GGAGAUGAGCUUGGAUGGUAUAAUGGUAUUGAAAGCAGAGCUGUAACUUAUGAAGAGAAGUCUGACGUAGAUAUCUUUCUUAUCCAGGUGAUCCAGUGAUGAAUGCAAGGCCAGCAG
Amblyraja radiata (thorny skate) is the source of this 117-nucleotide long non-coding RNA. RefSeq lists it as uncharacterized. The transcript is spliced from 3 exons. The record is from RefSeq and is a predicted model, not a curated record. Lineage: Eukaryota; Metazoa; Chordata; Chondrichthyes; Rajiformes; Rajidae.